ACAUAGAAGUAAUAACUUACAUUUAGUUUCGGCCUAAAAAUAGGGUAUACUCCCCAUGUU
RNAcentral lists this transfer RNA (60 nucleotides) under Membranacea stenoprocessa. RNAcentral's name for it is "tRNA-Arg". The record is from RNAcentral. Lineage: Eukaryota; Metazoa; Arthropoda; Insecta; Hemiptera; Cicadellidae.